UAGAAGCCUACACACCGCUGCUGGAGCUACCGCCAUGUCUCUACUGAUCCCUGAGAAGUUCCAGCACAUUUUGCGAGUACUCAACACCAAUAUCAACGGGCAGUGGAAAAUAGCCUUUGCCAUCACUGCAAUUAAGGAUAUGGGGCGAAGAUAUGCUCACGUGGUGUUGAGGAAAGCAGACAUCAACCUCACCAAGAGGGCAGGAGAGCUCACUGAGGAUGAGGUGGAACGUGGAAUCACCAUUAUGCAAAAUCCAUGCCAGUACAAGAUCCCAGACUUGUUCUUAGACAGAAGGACAUGAAGGAUGGGAAAUACAGUCAGGUCCUGGCCAAUGGUCUGGACAACAAGCUCCAUGAAGACUUGGAGCGAAGAAAAUUUGGGCCCACAGAGGGUUGUGCCAUUUCUGGAGACUUUGUGUUCGAGGCCAGCACACCAUGACCACUAGCCACCGAGGCCGCACUGUGGGUGUACCCAAGAAGAAAUAA
Molecule: RNA transcript, 485 nt
Organism: Pteropus alecto (black flying fox)
Lineage: Eukaryota; Metazoa; Chordata; Mammalia; Chiroptera; Pteropodidae
Gene name: 40S ribosomal protein S18 pseudogene
Exons: 1
Source: RefSeq, a predicted model, not a curated record